RNAcentral lists this non-coding RNA (32 nucleotides) under Myotis lucifugus (little brown bat). RNAcentral's name for it is "XIST RNA A repeat". It matches the Rfam family "XIST RNA A repeat". Lineage: Eukaryota; Metazoa; Chordata; Mammalia; Chiroptera; Vespertilionidae. The record is from Rfam by way of RNAcentral.
UAGCCCAUCGGGGCCUCGGAUAGCUGCUGUGU